UCUGGCUCAGGAUGAACGCUAGCUACAGGCUUAACACAUGCAAGGUCGAGGGGGCAGCAUGGUCUGUGCUUGCACAGUUGAUGGCGACCGGCGCACGGGUGAGUAACGCGUAUCCGAACCUUCCCCGCAGUAGGGCAUAGCCCGGCGAAAGUCGGAUUAAUACCCUAUGUUCUUCGUAGAUGACAUCUGAAACGAAGCAAAGGUUUACCGCUGUGGGAUGGGGAUGCGUCCGAUUAGGUAGUCGGCGGGGUAACGGCCCACCGAGCCUUCGAUCGGUAGGGGUUCUGAGAGGAAGGUCCCCCACACUGGUACUGAGACACGGACCAGACUCCUACGGGAGGCAGCAGUGAGGAAUAUUGGUCAAUGGGCGCGAGCCUGAACCAGCCAAGUAGCGUGCAAGGACGACGGCCCUAUGGGUUGUAAACUGCUUUUAUGCGGGGAUAAAGUGCAGCACGUGUGCUGUUUUGUAGGUACCGCAUGAAUAAGGACCGGCUAAUUCCGUGCCAGCCGCCGC
Molecule: ribosomal RNA, 514 nt
Filed under: uncultured bacterium
Lineage: Bacteria
Description: bacterial SSU rRNA
Rfam family: Bacterial small subunit ribosomal RNA
Source: RNAcentral